RNAcentral lists this ribosomal RNA (439 nucleotides) under uncultured bacterium. RNAcentral describes it as "partial 16S ribosomal RNA". It matches the Rfam family "Bacterial small subunit ribosomal RNA", at positions 339 to 795 of the family's 1533-position model. The record is from RNAcentral.
CUACGGGAGGCACCAGUGAGGAAUAUUGCACAAUGGGGGGAACCCUGAUGCAGCAACGCCGCGUGGAGGAUGACGCAUUUCGGUGUGUAAACUCCUUUUAUAUGUCAAGAAAAUGACGGUAGCAUAUGAAUAAGCACCGGCUAACUCCGUGCCAGCAGCCGCGGUAAUACGGAGGGUGCAAGCGUUACUCGGAAUCACUGGGCGUAAAGGACGCGUAGGCGGGUUGGAAAGUCGGGUGUGAAAUCCUACAGCUUAACUGUAGAACUGCACUUGAAACUUCUAAUCUAGAGUAUGGGAGGGGGAGAUGGAAUUAGUGGUGUAGGGGUAAUAUCCGUAGAUAUCACUAGGAAUACCUAAAGCGAAGGCGAUCUCCUGGAACAUUACUGACGCUAAGGCGUGAAAGCGUGGGGAGCAAACAGGAUUAGAUACCCGGGUAGUC